Molecule: long non-coding RNA, 245 nt
Filed under: Elaeis guineensis (African oil palm)
Lineage: Eukaryota; Viridiplantae; Streptophyta; Magnoliopsida; Arecales; Arecaceae
Description: long non-coding RNA (EGUI_LNC077744)
Source: RNAcentral
GAUCAUAUAUGUAUUAUUUUAUAGGAUAACCUCAAAGAAUCUAGGGGAUAUAACUUCUACCAUGUUAAAAAAUAAAAGUUAUUUGGCAUUUUUUUUAGAAAAAGAGUACCUUAGUGAAGGAACUGAUGUCUUUGAUGUGAAACUUAUAAAGUUUGACAGGUAGAAGUACCGACAUAAUCUAGUGAACUUAUAGAAUCAUAUUUGAUUAGAUCAAAUCUGGAAUCCGUUGUAGAAGCACCAUUAAG